UCCUCCUUACAGAGGCAGUUUUCUCCGAAAGCCGUAUCUCUACGGUUGUCAACGGAUGUCAAAUCCAGGUAAGGUUCUUCGCGUUGCUUCGAAUUAAACCACAUGAUCCACCGCUUGUGCGGGCCCCCGUCAAUUCCUUUGAGUUUUAGUCUUGCGACCGUACUUCCCAGGCGGGAUACUUAUUGCGUUAGCUCCGGCUCAGCGGGGGUCAAGACCCACUAAGCCUAGUAUCCAUCGUUUACAGCGUGGACUAC
This 254-nucleotide unclassified non-coding RNA is filed under the name uncultured Oligoflexales bacterium. Its description in RNAcentral is "contains 16S-23S intergenic spacer region". Lineage: Bacteria; Pseudomonadati; Bdellovibrionota; Oligoflexia; Oligoflexales. The record is from RNAcentral.